UUAUCAAUUGAAAUUGGAAUAUAAGCUGAACAUCUCAUGUCUUCGCUUUGUUAUUGUAACAAGUGAUCAUCAGAAGCAAGCCGUGUGAAAAUGAAAAUCAUAGUUUUCGUGAUUGUUUCGAUAGCAGUAUGCAUCGAAAGUGCUGUCAUCAAGGAACACAGAAAUCUUAAUGACGACGAUCAACAUGUGAUAGAUGUGGCCAGUUUACAACUCGACCAGGAUCCCGAACAAUCAUUACAUACAAAGCGGGAAGUUAUGUUCCGUCCACUGUUCGUGUACCGUGAACAGCAGAUCAAGAAACAACACCUGAAAGAACAGCGAGAGCAACGUGAACAACAGAUGCAUCAGCAUUCACAAACAACUACAACGCAUCGUCCAAAGAAGCUUCACUACGAGCCUUACGAUUACAUGGGUUAGUCAUAGAAAAUGAAAUAUUUAUUUUUAUACUUAACGUAGAAAUAAUAUAAAUAUUAUGUUGUGUUUGUUAAAGAUGAAGAAUUUAAAAUAGCGCAUAAUUUUGUCCAUAAUUACACUUUAUCCCUAUGAAUAAGGUUAAAUAAAAUAAUCGAACGUUGCACGUAGGAGCAUCACGUAGGAGCACAUGUUAGCUGAUUACUAAUAAUGCAUUGCCGAAAGCAUCUAUAGCACAUAAAUAUACCUGUACCAUUAUGCACCAUGCA
Aedes aegypti (yellow fever mosquito) is the source of this 680-nucleotide long non-coding RNA. RefSeq lists it as uncharacterized. The transcript has 2 exons. NCBI's taxonomy places the organism in Eukaryota, Metazoa, Arthropoda, Insecta, Diptera, Culicidae. The record is from RefSeq and is a predicted model, not a curated record.